UUAACGAAUCGCAUGGCCUUGCGCCGGCGAUGGUUCAUUCAAAUUUCUGCCCUAUCAACUUUCGAUGGUAGGAUAGUGGCCUACCAUGGUAUCAACGGGUAACGGGGAAUUAGGGUUCGACUCCGGAGAGGGAGCCUGAGAAACGGCUACCACAUCCAAGGAAGGCAGCAGGCGCGCAAAUUACCCAAUCCCGACACGGGGAGGUAGUGACAAUAAAUACUGAUACAGGGCUCUUUUGGGUCUUGUAAUUGGAAUGAGUACAAUUUAAAUCCCUUAACGAGGAACAAUUGGAGGGCAAGUCUGGUGCCAGCAGCCGCGGUAAUUCCAGCUCCAAUAGCGUAUAUUAAAGUUGUUGCAGUUAAAAAGCUCGUAGUUGAACCUUGGGCCUGGCUGGCCGGUCCGCCUCACCGCGUGUACUGGUCCGGCCGGGCCUUUCCUUCUGGGGAACCUCAUGCCCUUCACUGGGCGUGUUGGGGAACCAGGACUUUUACUUUGAAAAAAUUAGAGUGUUCAAAGCAGGCCUUUGCUCGAAUACAUUAGCAUGGAAUAAUAGAAUAGGACGUGUGGUUCUAUUUUGUUGGUUUCUAGGACCGCCGUAAUGAUUAAUAGGGAUAGUCGGGGGCAUCAGUAUUCAAUCGUCAGAGGUGAAAUUCUUGGAUUGAUUGAAGACUAACUACUGCGAAAGCAUUUGCCAAGGAUGUUUUCAUUAAUCAGUGAACGAAAGUUAGGGGAUCGA
RNAcentral lists this ribosomal RNA (736 nucleotides) under Cladosporium cladosporioides. RNAcentral's name for it is "SSU rRNA". It matches the Rfam family "Eukaryotic small subunit ribosomal RNA", at positions 260 to 1001 of the family's 1831-position model. Lineage: Eukaryota; Fungi; Ascomycota; Dothideomycetes; Cladosporiales; Cladosporiaceae. The record is from RNAcentral.